Molecule: long non-coding RNA, 1764 nt
Organism: Populus trichocarpa (black cottonwood)
Lineage: Eukaryota; Viridiplantae; Streptophyta; Magnoliopsida; Malpighiales; Salicaceae
Exons: 2
Source: RefSeq, a predicted model, not a curated record
UAUUGUGAUUCCCAGGAUUGAUGUGCUGCAGUAUUUUGCUCACGUGUCCAUUUUUUUUCAAAAAAAAAUAAAAAAACAGAACGUUCCUCCAUUUGUGAAUUGUAUCACUUCAUAAGAAUUAGCCAUCGUUUUCUUUCUGAUGGAUUUUACAUGUGGUAUAUAUUCAAGAAUUGCCCACCAUCUUCUUCUUUCUUCUGUUUAAUACUCGCCACCAUGCUCUAAAGUAUUCUUAUGCAUAGUUUCUUUGAUUUUUUGUAGGAAGACCCCUUGUAUUCUUAUUAUAACCGGCUACAUUAUGAAUUGACUCCAGUUGAGGUUCAUUCUGAGGAAUCUGCAAUGAUUGCCAUGUAUUUGCAGAAUAAACAUGCAGCAACACGUUCACAGUAUCCUGCUGAUAUUGAUAAAAUAUUCAGGGUCUCAAGAGAGGGUGAAAAUGAACGUAACAGAGCGUUUUCUAUUUAGAUAAGUCGUUGCUAUCUGUAAGGCUAGUCAAAUUUACAAUUAAAACUUCUAUGAUCCCUGUUCCGACUGCAUUUAUUUCUUUAGAAUAAUUGAAUUCUCUCAUAAAACUGUUGGAUCAUGUACUUUUAGGUUGAUCUUGGAGACAUGGCUGAGCUAUUAUAUGCAAAAAAAUGACGUUGAUAAGUUACCACGGGGGAAGCUAAGGUCUGGUCUGCUUUUGAAAGUUUUCUUCAGGCUCAUCUGGUUGCUCCAAUGAGCCUGAAUUUGAAGAUCAUGCUUUUUACUCUUCAAGAUCUGCCAGCAUGAAUUUGAAGUUGCAGUUUGUAUGAUAGCACGUGAAGAGACAUUGCCAUUUAUAAUUUGCAUCAUUCUCGUCCUUUUACAGCAGAGUUCUAUUGCAAUCAACUAGAGCAUGGCUGGUGAUAUUGUUUUCUUCCCAAAUGCAAGGUUAAUACAGUCUCAAUCUAAUUAUUGCAGCACGAAAGGAGUUGGUGGAACUGCUCCAAAUCUUUCAGAUGCCAAGACACUUGAUGAUGGUGCUGUUGUUCCCCUUGGGAAGCCCGAAGAGCAACAAGGCUCAAAGGUUGAACAAACAAAGUAUGACUCUGUGCAUUCGAAGAACUCACUGACUCUGCACAUGUCAACUCAUAUGACUGCUAAUAACCUCUAUGAUAUUGUAUCACCGUGCGCUAUUUUCAUAAUUUAUUGUUGAAAUGUGAUUUGAAUCCUUUUUGCAGAGUGAUUUGCGGUGCAAUCAGUAACAUAGUCUACAACGUGGAUCAGAUUCGGAUGCGAUAAGAGGUCCAAGUGAAUUUAAAAUUCGAUCAUUUGAUUACAUUAUUGCAGGAUAAAAAAUACAGAAACAACUUGAACUAAGAAGAGUCAACAUGGUGGAUGCUUUAAUAAUAAAAUAAUCAUAUGUCAAAUAAAAUAUUUAUAUUAACAUAAAACAAAAUCUAACAUGAUUAAAAAUACAAGAUAAUGAUUUUAUAAAUCCAAUUUAUAUAUAUAUAUUAAGAUCUAAAGCACUUGGGUCAAUAUCCCAUAGCCACAAAUUCUACUGACCACACCAAAUACAAGCCUGAAGUAGUACGUAGGUCUAUCGGAAGUGGCAAGUCCUAUCUGAAACUGUAGAGCUCCCAGAAACAAGGGCAUCAUGUCUUGCCAGAACUUUCUGUAGCUGCUCAUUCAAUCCAAUAUCUCGAGAGACCAACUUUGGACACCAGAGAGAGAUAGAGAAUCAAUUCAAGUUCCUAAUAUACAAAAUAAUUUAUAAAUUAAAAUGAGAUCUUUCCAUGUUCA